Molecule: long non-coding RNA, 244 nt
Organism: Perca fluviatilis (European perch)
Lineage: Eukaryota; Metazoa; Chordata; Actinopteri; Perciformes; Percidae
Exons: 2
Source: RefSeq, a predicted model, not a curated record
UGAACGAUACUUGAGAGAAAUGGUUCUUUUGUGUACAUAAAAAAAGUCUUAGAUCUUUGAGUUCAGCUCAUAAAAAAUGGGGGCAAAAACAAAAGUGUUGCGUUUAUAAUUUUGAGUAUAAAUAAAAUUGGCUUGACUUGACCCCAUAACAUUGAGACAGAGUCACACAUUUUGAUAGUGAUUCCAGAUAGGGCAACAUUUCUCUUACCUGAGUGCAGGAUCCCUCCAUAAAACACAGACAGCA